This 426-nucleotide ribosomal RNA is filed under the name uncultured bacterium. RNAcentral's name for it is "bacterial SSU rRNA". It matches the Rfam family "Bacterial small subunit ribosomal RNA", at positions 354 to 796 of the family's 1533-position model. The record is from RNAcentral.
GCAAGGAAUUUUGCGCAAUGGGCGAAAGCCUGACGCAGCGACGCCGCGUGGGGGAUGAAGGCCCUCGGGUUGUAAACCCCUUUUCCCAGGGAAGAAUAAUGACGGUACCUGGGGAAUAAGUCUUGGCUAACUACGUGCCAGCAGCCGCGGUAAUACGUAGAAGGCAAACGUUGUUCGGAUUUACUGGGCGUAAAGCGGGUGCAGACGGCGCCUUAAGUCGGAUGUGAAAUCUCCCGACUCAAUCGGGAGAGGUCGUUCGAUACUGGGGAGCUUGAGGGCAGCAGGGGAAGGCGGAAUUCCCGGUGUAGCGGUGAUAUGCGUAGAUAUCGGGAGGAACACUAGUGGCGAAGGCGGCCUUCUGGGCUGAUCCUGACGUUCAAACCCGAAAGCGUGGGGAGCGAAACGGAUUAGAUACCCCUGUAGUCC